RNAcentral lists this long non-coding RNA (662 nucleotides) under Mytilus galloprovincialis (Mediterranean mussel). Lineage: Eukaryota; Metazoa; Mollusca; Bivalvia; Mytilida; Mytilidae. The record is from RNAcentral.
AAAUUGUACAGUUGUACAGUGUCCGGAUAUGUACGAUGUGGUAAAACUACCAACAAUCUCGUCAAAUUCGUCAGAUUUGUCGAGAGAUUUGUGCACAUGAAUGAAAUAGUUGUCACUUGACGUUUAACUACAAACAAAAUCAAUCAACCGACAUAAUAGAUUAACAGUAUACUAUUACCAGAGAGAACCUCAAAUACAUUUUUUAUUAAAAAUCACAAAUGAAUUCAGACAUGUCAGUGUUGGUACAUGUACUUGGAUGAUUCGGCCUAAUAGUUUCGUUUUACACACCCUAGUGACUGUUCAAUAUUAUGAAUACAGAGAUGAAACGCUGACAUUCUCAAUGUAUGCGGAAAAAAAUUGCAUUAAUUGUUUUCCUUAUUGCUUACAUUUGCCGUCCUACUAACAUGUUCAAGGAGUGCCAGGAGAAGACAUAAUUAGGCGCCAUCCAACAGCGGUCAUUUAUUUUAUACAUUGAAUCCAGACAAAAAAAUAUGGCUGAUUUACUAUGCGGAUAUAUAUAGAUUUUUAAAUUAAAGUGCACAUAUGCAGGUCAGUUUUUGGUCGAUGCAGUCAAAAAAUUUUGUUGUAUAAGUCAGCAUGAGGUAUCAAAUCUACUGAAAUUUUGUUACGUAUCAAUAUUUUGAAUAAAAGGAGGACAUGCU